This 96-nucleotide microRNA precursor is filed under the name Chlorocebus sabaeus (green monkey). RNAcentral describes it as "mir-544 microRNA precursor family". It matches the Rfam family "mir-544 microRNA precursor family". RNAcentral also lists the same sequence under 4 other names. The record is from Rfam by way of RNAcentral. Lineage: Eukaryota; Metazoa; Chordata; Mammalia; Primates; Cercopithecidae.
AUCACCUAGAGAUCUUGUUAAAAUGCAGGUUCUGAUUCAGAAGGUCUAGAGUGUGCCCAAGAUUUUGCAUUUUCACAGGCUUCCAGGUGAUGCUGC